This 253-nucleotide ribosomal RNA is filed under the name uncultured bacterium. RNAcentral describes it as "partial 16S ribosomal RNA". It matches the Rfam family "Bacterial small subunit ribosomal RNA", at positions 524 to 776 of the family's 1533-position model. The record is from RNAcentral.
UACGGAGGAUCCAAGCGUUAUCCGGAAUCAUUGGGUUUAAAGGGUCCGUAGGCGGUUUGGUAAGUCAGUGGUGAAAGCCCAUCGCUCAACGGUGGAACGGCCAUUGAUACUGCCAGACUUGAAUUAUUAGGAAGUAACUAGAAUAUGUAGUGUAGCGGUGAAAUGCUUAGAGAUUACAUGGAAUACCGAUUGCGAAGGCAGGUUACUACUAAUGGAUUGACGCUGAUGGACGAAAGCGUGGGUAGCGAACAGG